This 495-nucleotide ribosomal RNA is filed under the name uncultured bacterium. RNAcentral describes it as "partial 16S ribosomal RNA". It matches the Rfam family "Bacterial small subunit ribosomal RNA", at positions 28 to 507 of the family's 1533-position model. The record is from RNAcentral.
GACGAACGCUGGCGGCGUGCCUAAUACAUGCAAGUAGAACGCUGAAGGAGGAGCUUGCUUCUCUGGAUGAGUUGCGAACGGGUGAGUAACGCGUAGGUAACCUGCCUGGUAGCGGGGGAUAACUAUUGGAAACGAUAGCUAAUACCGCAUAAUAGCAGUUGUUGCAUGACAACUGUUUGAAAGGUGCAAUUGCACCACUACCAGAUGGACCUGCGUUGUAUUAGCUAGUUGGUGGGGUAACGGCUCACCAAGGCGACGAUACAUAGCCGACCUGAGAGGGGGAUCGGCCACACUGGGACUGAGACACGGCCCAGACUCCUACGGGAGGCAGCAGUAGGGAAUCUUCGGCAAUGGACGGAAGUCUGACCGAGCAACGCCGCGUGAGUGAAGAAGGUUUUCGGAACGUAAAGCUCUGUUGUAAGAGAAGAACGAGUGUGAGAGUGGAAAGUUCACACUGUGACGGUAUCUUACCAGAAAGAGACGGCUAACUACGUG